UCCUACGGGAGGCAGCAGUGAGGAAUAUUGGUCAAUGGGCGGGAGCCUGAACCAGCCAAGUCGCGUGAGGGAAGACGGUCCUAUGGAUUGUAAACCUCUUUAGGCGGGGAGCAAUGCCGGGCACGCGUGCCCGGAGGGAGAGUACCCGCAGAAUAAGCAUCGGCUAACCCCGUGCCAGCAGCCGCGGUAAUACGGAGGAUGCGAGCGUUAUCCGGAUUUAUUGGGUUUAAAGGGUGCGUAGGCGGAUUUUUAAGUCAGCGGUAAAAUGUCCGGGCUCAACCUGGGCCUGCCGUUGAAACUGGGGG
Molecule: ribosomal RNA, 305 nt
Filed under: uncultured bacterium
Lineage: Bacteria
Description: bacterial SSU rRNA
Rfam family: Bacterial small subunit ribosomal RNA
Source: RNAcentral